RNAcentral lists this ribosomal RNA (403 nucleotides) under uncultured bacterium. RNAcentral describes it as "partial 16S ribosomal RNA". It matches the Rfam family "Bacterial small subunit ribosomal RNA", at positions 29 to 526 of the family's 1533-position model. The record is from RNAcentral.
AUUGAACGCUGGCGGCAGGCAUAACACAUGCAAGUCGAGCGAGCGGCGGACGGGUGAGUAAUGUCUGGGGACUGCCCGAUAGAGGGGGAUAACUACUGGAAACGGUGGCUAAUACCGCAUACUAUCGGAUAACCCAUAUGGGAUUAGCUAGUAGGUGGGGUAAAGGCUCACCUCGGCGACGAUCUCUAGCUGGUCUGAGAGGAUGAUGGGCCGCGCUGGGACUGAGACAGGGCCCAGGGUCCUACGGGGGCAGCAGUGGGGAAUAUGGCACAAUGGGGGCAAGCCUGAUGCAGCCAUGCGGCGUGUAUGAAGAAGGCCUUAGGGUUGUAAAGUACUGGCAGCGGGGAGGCGUUACCCGCAGAAGAAGCACCGGAGAACUCCGUGCCAGCAGCCGCGGUAAUAC